This 702-nucleotide ribosomal RNA is filed under the name Triticum aestivum (bread wheat). Its description in RNAcentral is "partial small subunit ribosomal RNA". Lineage: Eukaryota; Viridiplantae; Streptophyta; Magnoliopsida; Poales; Poaceae. The record is from RNAcentral.
AUGGAUAAUAUAAUAGCAUGGAACAAUAAAAAUUAUAGAUACGUUGGAGAUGUAUCAUCCUCCCUGGGCCCCGAUGGCUUGCCAGUAAAGUUCUUCUAGACCUUCUAGGCUGUCAUCAAACAGGAGGUCAUGGCCCUCUUUCAGGAGUUCUAUGUGGGCGCCAUCGACCUCCACUGCCUUAACUAUGUGAUUAUCAGUUUGAUCCCCAAGGUCCCCGGAGCCUCGGAUAUCCGCCAGUUCCGCCCGAUCAUGGUGAUCAAUGUGAUCUUCCGCAUACUGGGAAAGGGUUACGCCAAUAGGGUGGCCCCUUUGGUCAACCGCAUCACCCACCCUGAUCAGCUAGCCUUCAUCCAAGGUCGAUAUAUCCUGGAUGGGGUCCUAUCUUCCAUGAAAUUUUGCACGAGGCCCGGGCCAAAAACCUCAAGGCCGUCUUCUUGAAAAUCAACUUCCACAAAGCCUAUGACACGGUCAGCUGGACCUUCCUUCGUAAAGUGUUGCUCCGGGAAGGGUUUAACAAUCGUUGUGUCACCCGGGUCAUGCAAAUGGUCACCUCAGGGCAUACCACAGUUAACAUCAAUGGUGAUAUCGGUCCCUAUUUCCCCACUCUAUGUGGGGUUAGGCAGGGUGACCCCUUCUCCCUGUUCCUAUUCAACAUGGUGGUCGAUGCAUUGGCUACUAUCCUCGAUAAGGCUAAGACUGUAA